UUAUCUCCGAUUAAGGGCGAAGAAAACCGAAGCUCCAAAAUCUCGGGUAUAUAAUCCCGGCAGAUUUUGACGAAAGGGAAGUCUCCAGAGUUCCGUCUCCGCAGAUAGUUCUUUCCGAGAGAGGAUCAACCGAGAAGCUCCUGCCGAAUUCGACCCCGGGAAGGCAAGAGCUGAUCAGCUAGGAUUUAGCACAUCAACCCAGCGCGCAAGGAAUACUCACGUCGCCCGCACCCCUCGACCACCAAGGCGGUCGACACUGCGGCCGAGGACAAAAACGAGCGCGACGUGUCGCGACGCGUUCUUGUACCGGUUUUUGCGACCCGUCGUCAAGUCGCGUGCCGAAUCAUCCAAACUCGAGCUUUAAAUCACGGCGGAAACACCAGCAGCGCAUAUUAUAGGUUCGGGGCGCACACCGCGCGAUCAUUAAUCGGUGGCUCCACACUCACCGUCUGUAUGAAUCAAGCGCCGCACGAGAUGCUUGCGUAAUUAAGCAUCAAGCAAAUCGCUCACUCACAACUGUGACCCCGCGUGGAUCGUAGCGACCGCGGAAACAACUCGCACGAUCACCAAACACCCAAACAUUGGGAUGUCGCGUCGCGGCACGCGGUCGUAACGUGCAAAUAAAGACUUAUUGUGUUAUACUUA
Molecule: long non-coding RNA, 645 nt
Organism: Harpegnathos saltator (Jerdon's jumping ant)
Lineage: Eukaryota; Metazoa; Arthropoda; Insecta; Hymenoptera; Formicidae
Exons: 2
Source: RefSeq, a predicted model, not a curated record